UAACCCACGAACUUGAUGUUUCACUUCACUUUAUAUUGAUCUGCGACGCUCCAUUUUCACUGCGUCUCUGCGUGGUGGGGUUUUCAAUGGAGGAGGUGGAGAAGGAGACGAAGAAGUAUCGGUCUCUGCCUUCCAACUACGUAUCGCUCGCUCAACUCCAGGAACGCUGGCUCAAAGAGAAAGAACGGAUACAGCGAGAGGAGGAGCAAAAAGAGGAAGACGAACGACAGCGAAAGCUUCAGCUGCAAAAGCUAGAGGAAGAAGAACAGCAGCAGAAGCGAAAGCUUGAGCGUCUUAAGGGAGGGUGCGGCAUCGAUUACAAGCCGAUACAUCGGAAUUGGAAGGCAAAGGAGAAGAUUGAACCUAGGGAAGAGGAACAGCUGGAGGUGAAGCACCGCGCGGCACAAGCAACGCUCGCGGUUGUUGAGAAGGAGAGUGCUCCGGCUAGAAGAAAAGGUGGAUCGAAAGGAGCGAAGGGCGUAUUCAGGUGGAUGAUCGAGAACGCCGAUCGAGCGGCCGAGAUUGGACGGGGACUUGAGGAUUUCUCAACGAAUGGCGAGAAGGAGAAUGCUCCGGCGAGAAGAAACGGUGAAUCGAAGGGAGCGGGGAGUAGAUUGAGGCAGAGAAGAGAGAACACCGAUCGGACGGCGGAGAAUGAAUGGGAAGUUGGGGAUUUCUCAACGAAUGGCGAUAAGGAGAAUGCCCAUUUAAUAAUGAUCAGUAAAUCGAAGGGAACGACGAACGAAUUCAGGCCGAGGAGAGAGAACGCCAAUCGGACGGCUGUGAAUGAACGGGAAGUUGGGGAUUUCUCGAUGAAUGCCGUGAAGGACAAUCUGCCGGCGAGAAGGAGCGGUGAAUCGAAGGGCGCGAGGAGUAAAUUGUGGGGGACGAGAGAGAACGCCGAUCAGACGGCGGACAAUGAACGGGAAGAUGGGAACUUCUUAACGAAUGGCGUGAAGGAGGACGCUCAUUUAAGAAGGAGCGGUAAACUGACGGGAACGACGAACGAACUCAGGCCGAGGAGAGAGAACCCCAAUCGGACGGCCGAGAAUGAACGGGAAGUUGGGGGUUUCUCAACGAAUGGUGUGAAGGAGAAUCCUCCGGCGAGAAGGAACGGAAAAUCGAAGAAAGAGAGACGGAAGAAUAGACCGAGUCGGAAGAGAGAGAACGCUGAUCGGACGGUGAAAAAUGAACGGGAAGCUGGGGAUUUCUCAACGGUCGGCGUGAACAGCGAGACGGAGAAUGCCUCGGUAGGAGGAAACGGUGAAUCGAAGGGAGAUUGGAGCAGAUCUAGGCGUACAAGAGAGAAUGCCGAUCCGACGGCCGAGAAUGAACGAGAAGUUGGGGAUUUAUCAACUAAUGGCGAGAAGGGAGUAUGCUCCACCGAAUUCAGGCCAAUGGCAGAGAACGCUGAUCGGACUUGUGUGAUAGAAGAGAAACUGGGGGAUUCCUCAACGAAUGGUGAGAAGGAAGGUUGCUCCAGCGAAUUCAGGCCGUAUAGAGAGAACGCUGAUCCGACGCAGAUUGAACGGGACCUUGGGCAUUUCUCAAUAAAUGUUAAGAAUGAAAAAGCAAACGUUAGAGCGACGAGGCCGAACACUGGUAUGUAUCACGAUAACAGGGAGUACAAGGGAUACUUUGUUGCUAGGCAUCGCAGUAACUGGGAGUACAGGGUACAUGGAAAGGUUGGUGGUCGAGGUAGUGGUGCUGGAAAUAAUGGAAUGGUCUGGGUUAGGAAAGGAGAGCUUUCUGAUGGUCCAAGCCCGGGGAAUUGGAAUGGUUGAAAUUGCUUUGCCAUAUUUUGUGCAGUGAUGCUGAGUCUGGUUUUUGGGUAUGCGUUAGCUUCUGGCAGUAUUUUAUUUUUUGCUUUCGCUGUAAAAUGAUCAUCUGGGUGAGCAAUUGAAGUUUCCUUAAACCCUGUGUCAUGGCCAUUGCAAACACGCCUCAACUAAUUACUGACAAAGCCAUUUGUUGCGUAUAAAGGUAUGAUCUUGGCCCCUUGCUAUUCUAUUUCAACUAAUAGCAUUAGUAAUGGCCUAACCAUUUUUAUUCACUAUAAAACAUAACAUUUUCUCAAUAAUUUUAUUCACUUCAACUUAAGUCUAUCUGUGAAUUUUUAUUUUAUUUUUUCAUUUUCUCCUAAUGAAUUGUUUGUUUUUUCAAAAAAUGAUACUUAUCUAUUCAGAUUGUUGUAAAAAUCAAGAGAUCUCACAUUUUACUUGCUAAUUCCAGAAAAGCAUCCACAAUUAACAUAAAUCAACAAGAAGUGGAUCCGGUUCAAUCAAAGCCACAUUACACAUGUAAAGACCAGAACUACCACCAAAACCACAUUCUGGAAAGGGAUGCUAUAUCUUUAAACUAGUGCUGAUGAGUUGGAGGACAAGAUCGCCUGAUCGCCUGAUUACCAGAGUUAAUCUGCAUUCUAUAUUCUUUAUUUUAUUUUAUUUAUUUUAUUAGCACCUGAUAUCCGAGAAUGAAGUUUCCACUAAUUCUAGGAUGCACACAAGCUCUUGGUAAAGUGUUUUUCGUAAAUGCAAUUCGAAUAACUUAAGAAAAAUCUCUUCGAAUUCAAUUGUGCCGAAAAAUUAUUUGCAUCCAAUAAUCUAUUAAAAAAACAAUUUAGUUGUUUAA
Molecule: RNA transcript, 2631 nt
Organism: Carya illinoinensis
Lineage: Eukaryota; Viridiplantae; Streptophyta; Magnoliopsida; Fagales; Juglandaceae
Gene name: myb-like protein X
Exons: 3
Source: RefSeq, a predicted model, not a curated record